GGUUUGAUUCUGGCUCAGAUUGAACGCUGGCGGGAUGCUUUACACAUGCAAGUCGAACGGCAGCACGGACUUCGGUCUGGUGGCGAGUGGCGAACGGGUGAGUAAUGUAUCGGAACGUGCCUAGUAGCGGGGGAUAACUACGAAAGCGAGAAGCAUACCGCAUACGCCCUUCGGGGGAAAGUGGGGACCUUUCGGGCCUCGCACUAUUAGAGCGGCUGAUAUCGGAUUAGCUAGUUGGUGGGGUAACGGCUCACCAAGGCGACGAUCCGUAGCUGGUUUGAGGACGACCAGCCACACUGACUGAGACACGGCCCAGACUCCUACGGGAGGCAGCAGUGGGGAAUUUUGGACAAUGGGGAAACCUGAUCCAGCCAUCCCCCAAGUGUGCGAUGAAGGCCUUCGGGUUGUAAAGCACUUUUGGCAGGAAAAAGAAAACGGCACGGGAUAAUACCCCGUGCAACUGACGGUACCUGCAGAAUAAGCACCGGCUAACUACGCCAGCAGCCGCGUAAUACGUGGGGUGCAAGUGUUAAUCGGAAUUACUGGGCGUAGCGUGCGCAGGCGGUUCGAAAGAAAGAUGUGAAAUCCCAGAGCUAACUUUGGAACUGCAUUUUUAACUACCGAGCUAGAGUGUGUCAGAGGGAGGUGGGAAUUCCGCGUGUAGCAGUGAAAUGCGUAGAUAUGCGGAGGAACACCGAUGGCGAAGGCAGCCUGGGAUAACACUGACGCUCAUGCACGAAAGCGUGGGGAGCAAACAGGAUUAGAUACCCUGGUAGUCCCACGCCCUAAACGAUGUCAACUAGCUGUUAGCCUUCGGGCCUUGGUAGCGCAGCUAACGCGUGAAGUUGACCGCCUGGGGAGUACGGUCGCAAGAUAAACUCAAAGGAAUUGACGGGGACCCGCACAAGCGGUGGAUGAUGUGGAUUAAUUCGAUGCAACGCGAAAACCUUACCUACCCUUGACAUGUCUGAAUCCCGAAGAGAUUUGGGAGUGCCCGCAAGAGAACCGGAACACAGGUGCUGCAUGGCUGUCGUCAGCUCGUGUCGUGAGAUGUUGGGUUAAGUCCCGCAAUUACGCAACCCUUGUCAUUAGUUGCUAUGAAAGGGCACUCUAAUGAGACUGCCGGUGACAAACCGAGGAAGGUGGGGAUGACGUCAAGUCCUCAUGGCCCUUAUGGGUAGGGCUUGACACGUCAUACAAUGGUCGGGACAGAGGGUCGCCAACCCGCGAGGGGGGAGCCGAAUCCCAGAAACCCGAUCGUAGUCCGGAUCGCAGUCUGCAACUCGACUGCGUGAAGUCGGAAUCGCUAGUAAUCGCGGAUCAGCAUGUCGCGGUGAAUACGUUCCCGGGUCUUGUACACACCGCCCGUCACACCAUGGGAGUGGGUUUUACCAGAAGUAGUUAGCCUAACCGUAAGGGAGGGCGAUUACCACGGUAGAUUCAUGACUGGGUGAAGUCGUAACAAGGUAA
Molecule: ribosomal RNA, 1470 nt
Filed under: uncultured Bordetella sp.
Lineage: Bacteria; Pseudomonadati; Pseudomonadota; Betaproteobacteria; Burkholderiales; Alcaligenaceae
Description: partial 16S-23S ribosomal RNA intergenic spacer
Rfam family: Bacterial small subunit ribosomal RNA
Source: RNAcentral